Molecule: ribosomal RNA, 253 nt
Filed under: uncultured bacterium
Lineage: Bacteria
Description: partial 16S ribosomal RNA
Rfam family: Bacterial small subunit ribosomal RNA
Source: RNAcentral
UACAUGGGGUGCAAACGUUGCUCGGAAUUAUUGGGCGUAAAGCGCGCGUAGGCGGUUACUUAAGUCGGAUGUGAAAGCCCUCGGCUUAACUGAGGAAGUGCACCCGAAACUGAGUAGCUAGAGUACGAAAGAGGGUCGCGGAAUUCCCGGUGUAGAGGUGAAAUUCGUAAAUAUCGGGAGGAACACCGGUGGCGAAGGCGGCGACCUGGGUCGAGACUGACGCUGAGGCGCGAAAGCGUGGGGAGCAAACAGG